UACGUAGGGCGCAAGCGUUAUCCGGAAUUACUGGGCGUAAAGGGCGCGUAGGCGGCUUCGCUAGUUGGGCGUGAAAUGCCUGGGCUUAACCCAGGAAUUGCGCCCAAUACUUCGAGGCUCGAGUGUGGGAGAGGAUAGUGGAAUUCCCAGUGUAGAGGUGAAAUUCGUAGAUAUUGGGAAGAACACCAGCGGCGAAGGCGGCUAUCUGGACCACAACUGACGCUGAGGCGCGAAAGCGUGGGGAGCAAACAGG
This 253-nucleotide ribosomal RNA is filed under the name uncultured bacterium. Its description in RNAcentral is "partial 16S ribosomal RNA". It matches the Rfam family "Bacterial small subunit ribosomal RNA", at positions 524 to 776 of the family's 1533-position model. The record is from RNAcentral.